RNAcentral lists this ribosomal RNA (485 nucleotides) under Diplodia sapinea. Its description in RNAcentral is "SSU rRNA". It matches the Rfam family "Eukaryotic small subunit ribosomal RNA", at positions 405 to 895 of the family's 1831-position model. The record is from RNAcentral. Lineage: Eukaryota; Fungi; Ascomycota; Dothideomycetes; Botryosphaeriales; Botryosphaeriaceae.
GGCUACCACAUCCAAGGAAGGCAGCAGGCGCGCAAAUUACCCAAUCCCGACACGGGGAGGUAGUGACAAUAAAUACUGAUACAGGGCUCUUUUGGGUCUUGUAAUUGGAAUGAGUACAAUUUAAAUACCUUAACGAGGAACAAUUGGAGGGCAAGUCUGGUGCCAGCAGCCGCGGUAAUUCCAGCUCCAAUAGCGUAUAUUAAAGUUGUUGCAGUUAAAAAGCUCGUAGUUGAACCUUGGGCCUGGCUGGCCGGUCUGCCUCACCGCAUGUACUGGUUCGGCCGGGCCUUUCCUCCUGGGGAGCCGCAUGCCCUUCACUGGGUGUGUUGGGGAACCAGGACUUUUACUUUGAAAAAAUUAGAGUGUUCAAAGCAGGCCUUUGCUCGAAUACAUUAGCAUGGAAUAAUAGAAUAGGACGUGCGGUCCUAUUUUGUUGGUUUCUAGGACCGCCGUAAUGAUUAAUAGGGACAGUCGGGGGCAUCAGU